GACGAACGCUGGCGGCGUGCUUAACACAUGCAAGUCGAGCGGUAAGGCCCUUUCGGGGGUACACGAGCGGCGAACGGGUGAGUAACACGUGGGUGACCUGCCCUCAGCUCUGGGAUAAGCCUGGGAAACUGGGUCUAAUACUGGAUAUGACUCCACGGUGCAUGUCGUGGGGUGGAAAGCCUUGUGCGGCUGAGGAUGGGCCCGCGGCCUAUCAGCUUGUUGGUGGGGUGANGGCCUACCAAGGCGACGACGGGUAGCCGGCCUGAAAGGGCGACCGGCCACACUGGGACUGAGACACGGCCCAGACUCCUACGGGAGGCAGCAGUGGGGAAUCUUGCGCAAUGGGCGAAAGCCUGACGCAGCGACGCCGCGUGAGGGAUGACGGCCU
This 388-nucleotide ribosomal RNA is filed under the name uncultured bacterium. RNAcentral describes it as "bacterial SSU rRNA". It matches the Rfam family "Bacterial small subunit ribosomal RNA", at positions 28 to 417 of the family's 1533-position model. The record is from RNAcentral.